RNAcentral lists this ribosomal RNA (210 nucleotides) under uncultured bacterium. RNAcentral's name for it is "partial 16S ribosomal RNA". It matches the Rfam family "Bacterial small subunit ribosomal RNA", at positions 319 to 521 of the family's 1533-position model. The record is from RNAcentral.
CUGAGACACGGCCCAGACUCCUACGGGAGGCAGCAGUGGGGAAUUUUGGACAAUGGGGGCAACCCUGAUCCAGCAAUGCCGCGUGUGUGAAGAAGGCCUUCGGGUUGUAAAGCUCUUUUGUCCGGAAAGAAAUGGCGCUGGUUAAUAUCUGGUGUGGAUGACGGUACCCGAAUAAUAAGCACCGGCUAACUACGUGCCAGCAGCCGCGGU